GAUGAACGCUGGCGGCGUGCCUAAUACAUGCAAGUCGAGCGAACGGACGAGAAGCUUGCUUCUCUGAUGUUAGCGGCGGACGGGUGAGUAACACGUGGAUAACCUACCUAUAAGACUGGGAUAACUUCGGGAAACCGGAGCUAAUACCGGAUAAUAUUUUGAACCGCAUGGUUCAAAAGUGAAAGACGGUCUUGCUGUCACUUAUAGAUGGAUCCGCGCUGCAUUAGCUAGUUGGUAAGGUAACGGCUUACCAAGGCAACGAUGCAUAGCCGACCUGAGAGGGUGAUCGGCCACACUGGAACUGAGACACGGUCCAGACUCCUACGGGAGGCAGCAGUAGGGAAUCUUCCGCAAUGGGCGAAAGCCUGACGGAGCAACGCCGCGUGAGUGAUGAAGGUCUUCGGAUCGUAAAACUCUGUUAUUAGGGAAGAACAUAUGUGUAAGUAACUGUGCACAUCUUGACGGUACCUAAUCAGAAAGCCACGGCUAACUACGUGCCAGCAGCCGCGGUAAUACGUAGGUGGCAAGCGUUAUCCGGAAUUAUUGGGCGUAAAGCGCGCGUAGCGGUUUUUUAAGUCUGAUGUGAAAGCCCACGGCUCAACCGUGGAGGGUCAUUGGAAACUGGAAAACUUGAGUGCAGAAGAGGAAAGUGGAAUUCCAUGUGUAGCGGUGAAAUGCGCAGAGAUAUGGAGGAACACCAGUGGCGAAGGCGACUUUCUGGUCUGUAACUGACGCUGAUGUGCGAAAGCGUGGGGAUCAAACAGGAUUAGAUACCCUGGUAGUCCACGCCGUAAACGAUGAGUGCUAAGUGUUAGGGGGUUUCCGCCCCUUAGUGCUGCAGCUAACGCAUUAAGCACUCCGCCUGGGGAGUACGACCGCAAGGUUGAAACUCAAAGGAAUUGACGGGGACCCGCACAAGCGGUGGAGCAUGUGGUUUAAUUCGAAGCAACGCGAAGAACCUUACCAAAUCUUGACAUCCUUUGACAACUCUAGAGAUAGAGCUUUCCCCUUCGGGGGACAAAGUGACAGGUGGUGCAUGGUUGUCGUCAGCUCGUGUCGUGAGAUGUUGGGUUAAGUCCCGCAACGAGCGCAACCCUUAAGCUUAGUUGCCAUCAUUAAGUUGGGCACUCUAAGUUGACUGCCGGUGACAAACCGGAGGAAGGUGGGGAUGACGUCAAAUCAUCAUGCCCCUUAUGAUUUGGGCUACACACGUGCUACAAUGGACAAUACAAAGGGCAGCGAAACCGCGAGGUCAAGCAAAUCCCAUAAAGUUGUUCUCAGUUCGGAUUGUAGUCUGCAACUCGACUACAUGAAGCUGGAAUCGCUAGUAAUCGUAGAUCAGCAUGCUACGGUGAAUACGUUCCCGGGUCU
Molecule: ribosomal RNA, 1371 nt
Filed under: uncultured bacterium
Lineage: Bacteria
Description: bacterial SSU rRNA
Rfam family: Bacterial small subunit ribosomal RNA
Source: RNAcentral